GCGGACUACUGGGGUUUCUAAUCCUGUUCGCUACCCACGCUUUCGCGCCUCAGCGUCAGUUACAGGCCAGAGAGCCGCCUUCGCCACUGGUGUUCCUCCCGAUCUCUACGCAUUCCACCGCUACACCGGGAAUUCCACUCUCCUCUCCUGUACUCAAGCCCGCCAGUUUCGGAUGCCACCCCACGGUUGAGCCGUGGUCUUUCACAUCCGACUGAACAGGCCGCCUGCGCGCGCUUUACGCCCAAUAAUUCCGGACAACGCUUGCCCCCUACGUAUUACCGCGGCUGCUGGCAC
RNAcentral lists this unclassified non-coding RNA (294 nucleotides) under Thermoactinomyces sanguinis. RNAcentral's name for it is "contains 16S-23S intergenic spacer region". The record is from RNAcentral. Lineage: Bacteria; Bacillati; Bacillota; Bacilli; Caryophanales; Thermoactinomycetaceae.